This 770-nucleotide ribosomal RNA is filed under the name uncultured Vagococcus sp. RNAcentral's name for it is "bacterial SSU rRNA". It matches the Rfam family "Bacterial small subunit ribosomal RNA", at positions 28 to 776 of the family's 1533-position model. Lineage: Bacteria; Bacillati; Bacillota; Bacilli; Lactobacillales; Enterococcaceae. The record is from RNAcentral.
GACGAACGCUGGCGGCGUGCCUAAUACAUGCAAGUCGAACGCACGAAGUUGAAGAGCUUGCUCUUUAACCAAGUGAGUGGCGGACGGGUGAGUAACACGUGGGUAACCUACCCAUUAGAGGGGAUAACAUUCGGAAACGGAUGCUAAUACUGCAUAGUUUCAGGAAUCGCAUGAUUCGUGAAGGAAAGGUGGCUUCGGCUACCACUAAUGGAUGGACCCGCGGCGUAUUAGCUAGUUGGUGAGGUAAUGGCUCACCAAGGCAAUGAUACGUAGCCGACCUGAGAGGGUGAUCGGCCACACUGGGACUGAGACACGGCCCAGACUCCUACGGGAGGCAGCAGUAGGGAAUCUUCCGCAAUGGACGAAAGUCUGACGGAGCAACGCCGCGUGAGUGAAGAAGGUUUCCGGAUCGUAAAACUCUGUUGUUAAAGAAGAGCAAGGAUGAGAGUAACUGCUCAUCCCCUGACGGUAUUUAACCAGAAAGCCACGGCUAACUACGUGCCAGCAGCCGCGGUAAUACGUAGGUGGCAAGCGUUGUCCGGAUUUAUUGGGCGUAAAGCGAGCGCAGGCGGUUCUUUAAGUCUGAUGUGAAAGCCCCCGGCUCAACCGGGGAGGGUCAUUGGAAACUGGAGAACUUGAGUGCAGAAGAGGAGAGUGGAAUUCCACGUGUAGCGGUGAAAUGCGUAGAUAUGUGGAGGAACACCAGUGGCGAAGGCGACUCUCUGGUCUGUAACUGACGCUGAGGCUCGAAAGCGUGGGGAGCAAACAGG